RNA transcript from Girardinichthys multiradiatus, 3800 nucleotides. It is a transcript of the gene named N-myristoyltransferase 2, with no coding region annotated. The record is from RefSeq and is a predicted model, not a curated record. Lineage: Eukaryota; Metazoa; Chordata; Actinopteri; Cyprinodontiformes; Goodeidae. The transcript is spliced from 13 exons.
UUUGUUUUUAUUUUUUUCCAUCUCUCGCCUGCUGUCAGUGAGCGUCUAAAAACGUUUGCUGGCAGUUUUUUAAGCAUUUUGAUGAUGGCGGAGGACAGUGAGUCCGCGGCCAGCCAGCAGAGCCUGGAGCUGGACGACCAGGAUACGUGUGGGAUAGACGGAGACAACGAGGAGGAGAAUGAUCAUAUGCAGGGCAGUCCGGGAGGAGAGCUGGGGGCUAAGAGGAAGAAGAAGAAGCAGAAGAGGAAAAAAGAAAAGCCCAACUCGGGCUCGGGAGCCAAAUCUGACUCUGCUUCUGACUCUCAGGAAAUCAAGAACCCUGGCUUGCCCAUUCAGAAGCUCCAGGACAUCCAAAGAGCCAUGGAACUACUGUCCUGCCAGGGUCCAGCAAAGAGUAUCGACGAUGCAACCAAGCACAAAUACCAGUUCUGGGACACCCAGCCUGUCCCAAAGUUAAAUGAAGUCGUAACAAGCCACGGACCAAUUGAAGCUGACAAAGAAAACAUUAGACAGGAGCCAUAUUCUUUACCUCAAGGCUUUAUGUGGGACACUUUGGAUCUCAGUAAUGCAGAUGUAUUGAAAGAGUUGUACACGUUGUUAAAUGAAAACUAUGUGGAGGAUGAUGACAACAUGUUCAGAUUUGAUUAUUCACCAAACUUUCUCAAGUGGGCUCUUCGUCCCCCUGGUUGGUUGCCACAGUGGCACUGUGGAGUAAGAGUGUCCUCGAAUAAGAAGCUUGUUGGAUUCAUCAGUGCCAUGCCCGCCGACCUACGCGUCUAUGACACAAUAAAGAAGAUGGUAGAAAUCAACUUCCUUUGUGUUCAUAAGAAGCUGCGUUCGAAGCGUGUUGCUCCAGUGCUGAUCCGAGAGAUAACACGGAGGGUGAACCUGGAGGGAAUAUUCCAGGCAGUAUACACAGCCGGAGUUGUGUUGCCUAAACCCGUGUCUACGUGCAGGUACUGGCAUCGUUCAUUGAACCCUAGGAAACUUGUGGAAGUGAAAUUCUCCCAUCUUAGCAGAAACAUGACGCUGCAAAGAACCAUGAAGCUCUACAGGCUACCAGAUAGCACCAAGACUCGAGGCCUACGGCCGAUGGAGAGACGUGACCUCCAUCAGGUCACUGAGCUGUUACAAAAAUACCUGAGACGUUUCCAUCUCGCUCCUUCCAUGGGAGAAGAAGAGGUUGCUCACUGGUUCCUACCACAGGAAAACAUCAUUGACACAUAUGUUGUAGAGACUGCAGGUGGCGUACUGACAGAUUUUACUAGUUUCUACACUUUGCCCUCAACCGUGAUGCAUCAUCCUCUACACAGGAGCCUGAAGGCAGCGUACUCAUUCUACAGUGUCCAUACACAAACCCCACUACUGGACUUAAUGAAUGAUGCACUGAUCCUGGCAAAACUGUAUAACUUCGGUCAUCCUUCCAGAAGCUUCUCACAAAAGGUUUUGACGUUUUCAAUGCCUUGGAUCUGAUGGAGAAUAAGGUGUUUCUGGAGAAGCUGAAGUUCGGGAUAGGAGACGGAAACCUGCAGUAUUACCUCUACAACUGGAAAUGUCCCCCUAUGGAUCCUGAUAAGGUUGGCCUCGUCCUUCAGUAGCAGCUCGUUUCACAGCUGCUCCACCAACAGGCGGCGGUUAACUUUGGCCUCUAAAUUCUCCUUACUUGGACUUACGGGUCGCCCGAGCUCAGCAUUGAAAACUACUACCAGUCAACCAACCUCAUGACCAAGUGGUGGUAUCAUUAAGAACUUUUGCAGUCCACCCAGAGGUGAAACCUCUUCAAUCAUCAUCCUGAAUGUGAAGUCUUGCUAUGCCUGAGAUAUCCUUACAGUACAACGCUGUUGACAUGCACUCCCUCUCCUACAACACAAAACAGUCGGACGUUCCAGAGGAUGCCUUGGCAUUGUGAAUUUCGUUUCUAUUUCUUUAUUCUCUACAGACAUUGUCACCAGGCCUGGUAUUUACCCGUGUAAAGGAUGAUCAACGAGGCAGUUACCAUUUUCCCAUUCUGUUUAUCCUCUCCUCUUCAGUUCGCCGUCGUGCUGCUGAUCCAUGUAUUGUUUCCCUCUGUUUUCAUAUCACUGUGGUCAGUCAUGUGUCUCUGCUGGCUGUUUUAGGCCUAUGUAGAAUUAGAAACUGUAAAAGAUUGUUUCUAACUUAUACUGAAACACUUUAUUCUUCAGUAAUUUUACAAAAAUAUCUGUAACAAAGGAAGUCUCAUUCAAAACAACAAGAACUGUAACAUAGUUUGCACUAAAAACAAAACCCCAUGGAUUUCUGUAGUUUGAGUUGCAGGUUUGUUAGGGCUGACCUAAAACAUUCUUCGCAUUAAGUUAUGUAAAAGUCAGUGACUUUUUACAUAAGAAGCGACACAAGAAUGUACCGCAUCGAUGAAGCACAAUUUUACAAACAAGUCAAAUAGUUCUCUUAUGUAAGAUCUGAUCUUUAACAUUUAGUUUUGACUAAUGGUGGGAGCUGUUUUUAGAUUAUGAAGCUGACUUUUUGUAAUUUAACAUGUAACCCAUUCACGUGGCAGCAUUUAUGGUGGCACUCCUUCAUGUUUUUUGGUUUUGGUACUUUCCAGUUAGCAGUAGCGGUAAAAGAGCAGCAAUUGGACUUAGACUGAGAUUUUGUACAAAAUAAGCUUGUGUGUGGAGAAAAUUUAAUAACCUAAAAAUUGCUUUUUGGCUUCUAAAGGGGAGUAUUCAAGCAACCGCAGUCUAUUCUGUUUAAUUUUUGCCUUUGCCACUUGUAGAAGAUUUGGCAGAGAAAAUUCCCUCUGGUGCAAAGAAUCUGCUGUUAAGUGAUCAAUGGUUCAGAAGUGCAAUAUAUAUAUAUAUAUACAUAUGUAGAUGCAUUUACAGCCAUUGCAUAAUCUGAACCUGGGUUGUAAAUUCUAUGUUUAAUUAAUAUAGGAGAAUUUGGAGGAAACAUUUAAAUCAACAAGUUUCCGUAGGUUUAUUCUCGACUUUCUGAAGUCAUUUGCUUUUUUCCAGACAUAAAACUAUAUAGUAGGCCAUUUUGUUUUAGUGUGAUGUGCAGCUAAAUGUGUAAAAGUUGUAAUAUUUGUAAAACAUUGCUUUACCUAUAUGUUUUUGAGGGCAUUUGGCAGUUCUGUGUGCUUCAAUGAGCAAACCUUUUGACCAACCACUUGUUCUAAGGUGGAUCGAAACAAAAUUGUUUUACAUUCUUUUUGGUGAUUUAAUAUUUGUGGCUCUGCAAAAUAUAAGACAAAGAGGGUACAUCAGUUUUGUUUUAUUUUAUUCUUAAAAUGCUCUUUUUGUAUUUGUGUUUUUUCUCACAAUCCAUAAAGAUUGGCCAAAACGGGACAAAAACAUUGGUCAGUAAAAGCUCUGGAACUAAAGAUCGAGUUAGAUUCACAAAGAGAUGCUACUGUCAUUAAUUUAACUCUGAAAACGAGUUGCAGCGUCUACGGUGUGCCUCGUGUUGCCUGCAGCGGCUCAGAUGAACUUUUUGAGCAUCUCGGUUCUGCUGCCAUGUUGACUCCAGCGUUGAUGUUUUACAGCUGUAAACUCCAGUGGCUGAAACACCCACCAUGUCUUAAAGAUUUUCUUUAGGAGAUCUGGAAGGUGGGGCGAUGAGAGCGUAUGUCUGAAAUAUCAUACCGUCAAACUGAAGAACAAUGUUUUUAUUUAAAACCAUUGUGAACUGUGAAAAAGCUAAAGAACCUGUACCAGCAUCAUUUAGGCAUAAACCCAGUGCAAAUACCAGUCUGUUUCAACACAUCAGCUAAACCAGCAUGGAAAUUUGAUUGAAUAAACUUAAACUUUAAAAAGGAA